AACGAACGCUGGCGGCAUGCCUAACACAUGCAAGUCGAACGAGACCUUCGGGUCUAGUGGCGCACGGGUGCGUAACGCGUGGGAACCUGCCCUUAGGUUCGGAAUAACUCCCCGAAAGGGGUGCUAAUACCGGAUAAUGUCUUCGGACCAAAGAUUUAUCGCCUUUGGAUGGGCCCGCGUUGGAUUAGCUAGUUGGUAGGGUAAAAGCCUACCAAGGCGACGAUCCAUAGCUGGUCUGAGAGGAUGAUCAGCCACACUGGGACUGAGACACGGCCCAGACUCCUACGGGAGGCAGCAGUGGGGAAUAGUGGACAAUGGGCGAAAGCAUGAUCCAGCAAUGCCGCGUGAGUGAUGAAGGCCUUAGGGUUGUAAAGCUCUUUUAACCGGGAUGAUAAUGACAGUACCGGGAGAAUAAGCCCCGGCUAACUCCGUG
RNAcentral lists this ribosomal RNA (433 nucleotides) under uncultured bacterium. RNAcentral's name for it is "partial 16S ribosomal RNA". It matches the Rfam family "Bacterial small subunit ribosomal RNA", at positions 29 to 507 of the family's 1533-position model. The record is from RNAcentral.